RNAcentral lists this transfer RNA (49 nucleotides) under Bacteroides fragilis str. 1007-1-F #6. RNAcentral describes it as "partial tRNA-Ser". It matches the Rfam family "tRNA", at positions 24 to 71 of the family's 71-position model. Rfam says of the family: Transfer RNA (tRNA) molecules are approximately 80 nucleotides in length. Their secondary structure includes four short double-helical elements and three loops (D, anti-codon, and T loops). Lineage: Bacteria; Pseudomonadati; Bacteroidota; Bacteroidia; Bacteroidales; Bacteroidaceae. The record is from RNAcentral.
CAUCUGCCUUGCACGCAGAGGGUCAACGGUUCGAAUCCGUUAUUCUCCA